GACGGGGGAUGCAAGCGUUAUCCGGAAUCACUGGGCGUAAAGCGUCUGUAGGUGGUGAUGCAAGUCACUGGUGCAAAACUCUGGCUCAACCGGAGGAAAGCCAGUGAAACUGCAUGACUAGAGUGUGGGAGAGGUAGAAGGAAUUCCCUGAGUAGCGGUGAAAUGCGUAGAUACAGGGAAGAACAGCGGAGGCGAAAGCGUUCUACUGGAACACAACUGACGCUGAGAAGCGAAAGCUAGGGGAGCAAACAGG
RNAcentral lists this ribosomal RNA (253 nucleotides) under uncultured bacterium. Its description in RNAcentral is "partial 16S ribosomal RNA". It matches the Rfam family "Bacterial small subunit ribosomal RNA", at positions 524 to 776 of the family's 1533-position model. The record is from RNAcentral.